AUACGGAGGGUGCAAGCGUUAUCCGGAUUCAUUGGGUUUAAAGGGUGCGCAGGCGGACUUGUAAGUCAGUGGUGAAAUCCCGGGGCUCAACCUCGGAACUGCCAUUGAUACUGCAAGUCUUGAGUUUGGUUGAAGUGGGCGGAAUGUAGCAUGUAGCGGUGAAAUGCAUAGAUAUGCUACAGAACACCGAUCGCGAAGGCAGCUCACUAAACCAACGCUGACGCUCAGGCACGAAAGCGUGGGGAGCGAACAGGAUUAGAAACCCCGGUAGUCC
Molecule: ribosomal RNA, 274 nt
Filed under: uncultured bacterium
Lineage: Bacteria
Description: partial 16S ribosomal RNA
Rfam family: Bacterial small subunit ribosomal RNA
Source: RNAcentral